GUAACGCGUGGGCAACCUGCCCCAUANAGGGGGACAACAGCUGGAAACGGCUGCUAAUACCGCAUAACAAGGAGAGAGCGCAUGUUCUUUUCUUCAAAGAUUUAUUCGCUAUGGGAUGGACCCGCGUCUGAUUAGCUAGUUGGUGAGGUAACGGCUCACCAAGGCGACGAUCAGUAGCCGGCUUGAGAGAGUGAACGGCCACAUUGGGACUGAGACACGGCCCAGACUCCUACGGAAGGCAGCAG
RNAcentral lists this ribosomal RNA (245 nucleotides) under uncultured bacterium. RNAcentral's name for it is "partial 16S ribosomal RNA". It matches the Rfam family "Bacterial small subunit ribosomal RNA", at positions 110 to 354 of the family's 1533-position model. The record is from RNAcentral.